GCCGGGGUGGCGGAACUGGCAGACGCAGGGGACUCAAAAUCCCCCGGGCCUCGCGCCCAUGGGGGUUCGACUCCCCCCCUCGGCACCA
RNAcentral lists this transfer RNA (88 nucleotides) under Acidobacteriota bacterium. RNAcentral's name for it is "Acidobacteria bacterium tRNA-Leu". It matches the Rfam family "tRNA". From Rfam's summary of the family: Transfer RNA (tRNA) molecules are approximately 80 nucleotides in length. Lineage: Bacteria; Pseudomonadati; Acidobacteriota. The record is from RNAcentral.